UACGUAGGGGGCAAGCGUUGUUCGGAUUCAUUGGGCGUAAAGGGCGCGUAGGCGGCGGGGUCAGUCGGGUGUGAAAUCUUGGGGCUUAACCCCGAAACGGCACUCGAAACUGCCCGGCUGGAGGGCCGGAGAGGAGAUCGGAAUUCACGGUGUAGCAGUGAAAUGCGUAGAGAUCGUGAGGAAGACCCGUGGCGAAGGCGGAUCUCUGGACGGCUAACUGACGCUGAGGCGCGAAGGCCAGGGGAGCAAACGGG
This 254-nucleotide ribosomal RNA is filed under the name uncultured bacterium. RNAcentral describes it as "partial 16S ribosomal RNA". It matches the Rfam family "Bacterial small subunit ribosomal RNA", at positions 524 to 776 of the family's 1533-position model. The record is from RNAcentral.